AUGAAAAUGUUCACUCUUCUGUACCUGUUAACAGUUGUUCCUGGUAUCCUGUCUGAUGUACAGCUUCAGGAGUCAGGACCUGGCCUGGUGAAACCUUCUCAGACAGUGUCCCUCACCUGCACUGUCACUGGCAUCUCCAUUACCACUGGUAAUUACAGGUGGAGCUGGAUCCGGCAGUUUCCAGGAAACAAACUGGAGUGGAUAGGGUACAUAUACUACAGUGGUAGCAUUACCUACAAUCCAUCUCUCAAAAGUCGAACCACCAUCACUAGAGACACUUCCAAGAACCAGUUCUUCCUGGAAUUGAACUCUUUAACUACUGAGGACACAGCCACAUACUACUGUGCACGAGACACAGUGUGGAAUCUUCAGUGUGAGCCCAGAUUUACACAAGGUUCCAUGAACAGACUGAGAAAUAAGGACGCUGCCAUGUGUUACUGUGUGAGAGAUACAGUGAGGAAAAUCACCACCAUUGUGGUGUUCCUACUUCUGUUUCUAUUCUGCUCAGACACUGAGAAAGAUGACAGAGCAUUGCAACUGUCUCCAGCAGACAAUCAUGUACUGAAAGGACUGUAA
Non-coding RNA from Mus caroli (Ryukyu mouse), 576 nucleotides. Lineage: Eukaryota; Metazoa; Chordata; Mammalia; Rodentia; Muridae. The record is from the annotation of a RefSeq genome assembly.